AGGGAUUUUGAGCAUAUCUGCAGCGCUAUUUUGUAUUGCUCCUCAUUGCAGGUGUGCAACUCGGAACUUUGCAUCCUUGUUGUGGACCUCCGGCUCCCUGAUUCGGGCCACGACUCUUGGUUGUGGCAGCAUAAUCCACUGUGUACGCGCCUCGCCACACAACUGCAGCCUGGCGAGUCUCUGCUUGGUGGCCAGCUACGACUAGUGCCAGGGAGCGCACCUUCUCCAGUAUGCCCUCCUGAGCCGCUGCCGUCCUCUCUGCCGCGAUGGCGAGCCGGGUGGUGGAUUGUUCGAUCCUUCGCAGCACCUGAAAUGAAUAAUUGUGGUGGAAUUGUUCAUAUGUGUUGCUGAUUACUCGCAACCAGCUCAUCGCUGUAAGCUGUUGUUGUCAAGAAUUGCAACGUGCACAACAAUUGCCCACCUCCCUCGCUGUAGCCACUGUAGUGUCUAUCCUCCUAACACAUCACAUAUCCUAUGGCAAUGCCAUCCAAAACUACCCCCCUUACCCAAACCUUCAUCCCUCCCAUCUACCCCUUCCUCCGAGUGGCUGACCGCCGCAACCACCCUUCACGACCAACGAUUCCUUGGGGACUUCAUCGGCCUAGCGCUGAAGCAUGCCGCAAGCGACGCCCUGGACUCAGGGCACUGAUGCAUUUUUUAUCGCAGAAUAAAAAAAAGUGAUUUC
Molecule: long non-coding RNA, 685 nt
Organism: Dermacentor silvarum
Lineage: Eukaryota; Metazoa; Arthropoda; Arachnida; Ixodida; Ixodidae
Exons: 2
Source: RefSeq, a predicted model, not a curated record